RNAcentral lists this unclassified non-coding RNA (147 nucleotides) under soil metagenome. RNAcentral describes it as "partial internal transcribed spacer 1". The record is from RNAcentral.
CCGAGUUUACAACUCCCAAACCCCUGUGAACAUACCACUUGUUGCCUCGGCGGAUCAGCCCGCUCCCGGUAAAACGGGACGGCCCGCCAGAGGACCCCUAAACUCUGUUUCUAGUAUGUAACUUCUGAGUAAAACCAUAAAUAAAUC